GGUCAAGUGAAGAAGCGCAUACGGUGGAUGCCUUGGCAGUCAGAGGCGAUGAAAGACGUGGUAGCCUGCGAUAAGCUUCGGGGAGUCGGCAAACAGACUUUGAUCCGGAGAUCUCUGAAUGGGGAAACCCACUUGGCAUAAGCCAGGUAUCUUGCACUGAAUACAUAGGUGUAAGAGGCGAACCAGGGGAACUGAAACAUCUAAGUACCCUGAGGAAAAGAAAUCAACCGAGAUUCCCUUAGUAGUGGCGAGCGAACGGGGACUAGCCCUUAAGCUUCUUUGAAUCUAACAGAACGCUCUGGAAAGUGCGGCCAUAGUGGGUGAUAGCCCCGUAUGUGAAAGGUUCUUUGAAGUGAAAUCGAGUAGGACGGAGCACGAGAAACUUUGUCUGAAUAUGGGGGGACCAUCCUCCAAGGCUAAAUACUACUGACUGACCGAUAGUGAACCAGUACCGUGAGGGAAAGGCGAAAAGAACCCCGGAGAGGGGAGUGAAAUAGAACCUGAAACCGUAUGCGUACAAGCAGUGGGAGCCUACUUUGUUAGGUGACUGCGUACCUUUUGUAUAAUGGGUCAGCGACUUAUAUUCAGUGGCGAGCUUAACCGAAUAGGGAAGGCGUAGCGAAAGCGAGUCUUAAUAGGGCGAAUUAGUCGCUGGGUAUAGACCCGAAACCGGGCGAUCUAUCCAUGAGCAGGUUGAAGGUUAGGUAACACUGACUGGAGGACCGAACCCACUCCCGUUGAAAAGGUAGGGGAUGACUUGUGGAUCGGAGUGAAAGGCUAAUCAAGCUCGGAGAUAGCUGGUUCUCCUCGAAAGCUAUUUAGGUAGCGCCUCACGUAUCACUCCAGGGGGUAGAGCACUGUUUCGGCUAGGGGGUCAUCCCGACUUACCAAACCGAUGCAAACUCCGAAUACCUGGAAGUGUCAGCGUGGGAGACACACGGCGGGUGCUAACGUCCGUCGUGAAAAGGGAAACAACCCAGACCGUCAGCUAAGGUCCCAAAGUUAUGGUUAAGUGGUAAACGAUGUGGGAAGGCUUAGACAGCUAGGAGGUUGGCUUAGAAGCAGCCACCCUUUAAAGAAAGCGUAAUAGCUCACUAGUCGAGUCGGCCUGCGCGGAAGAUGUAACGGGGCUCAAACCAUACACCGAAGCUACGGGUGCAUCGCAAGAUGCGCGGUAGAGGAGCGUUCUGUAAGCCUGUGAAGGUGAGUUGAGAAGCUUGCUGGAGGUAUCAGAAGUGCGAAUGCUGACAUGAGUAACGACAAUGGGAGUGAAAAACUCCCACGCCGAAAGACCAAGGGUUCCUGCGCAACGUUAAUCGACGCAGGGUUAGUCGGUCCCUAAGGCGAGGCUGAAGAGCGUAGUCGAUGGGAAACAGGUUAAUAUUCCUGUACUUCUAGUUACUGCGAUGGAGGGACGGAGAAGGCUAGGCCAGCUUGGCGUUGGUUGUCCAAGUUUAAGGUGGUAGGCAGAGAUCUUAGG
Molecule: ribosomal RNA, 1480 nt
Filed under: Escherichia coli
Lineage: Bacteria; Pseudomonadati; Pseudomonadota; Gammaproteobacteria; Enterobacterales; Enterobacteriaceae
Description: partial 23S ribosomal RNA
Rfam family: Bacterial large subunit ribosomal RNA
Source: RNAcentral